This is a long non-coding RNA of Olea europaea var. sylvestris, 1769 nucleotides long. RefSeq lists it as uncharacterized. NCBI's taxonomy places the organism in Eukaryota, Viridiplantae, Streptophyta, Magnoliopsida, Lamiales, Oleaceae. The transcript has 5 exons. The record is from RefSeq and is a predicted model, not a curated record.
GUAUAGGAUUCUGUUCCCAUUUGCUGGUCUGAAAAUCCAAACAAUAGUGAGGGCUGAAAAAUUUCCAGCACUGGCAUAAUCUCAAUGCCAUUGACAAAAGCAAAAAGGUCAUUGUAUGUGGAUGACAUUGUCAAUGUGAGAUUGAGGAUACUGGAUUUUGUCGUCAUCAUAGUGAAAUCUCUAACUAUAUAAGCCUAUGUAAGUGCUUGAGUAGUAAUGGAUGCACUGAAAUUGUUAAGAAUGAAAUUACUUGUAGUUACAAAGAAAAAACUUAGGAGCGAUCAAAGAAAAUGUAAGACGAUGGGUAAAAUGAAGUCUCAUCCAGUAACGGAAAAUGGGAGAACAGAGAAUUUGAAAAAUUGCAGUCAUGUACGGAAUGGUGGAAGGCAAUGAAGAAUCUUGAGACUCAACAAUGGAGGACGCAGAGUUAUAUGAAGAGAUGAAAAUUUUGGUAUCGAGAAUGAAUGAUGAUGGUGCAAGCAAAGACUGAGAAUGAGGUUUUGUGAUCUAGGGCAAUAGAGACAGAACAAAAAUUAUAGGUGGAGGCAAAGAUGGUGGAGAAAUUGGUUGGGGUAGUUGGAUCAAUUUGGAGUUUUAAAAACCUAUUAAAUACUGUCUUAGGAGGUUUUACUUUGUUUUAGGGUACUAAUCUAAUUUGUUGCUUUUUUAGAGUAGAGGGCCUAAUUUCCUCUUUAGGAUUUCUGAUUCAUUUGUUCACGUAAUUCCAUUCCUGUAACCCCACCAUUCCUUUGCAAACCAUUUCAAAGAAUUUCCAAAAAUCAAAAAUUAAAAUCCCUAAAUCUUUACCUUGUCCCUACCCAUAGCCGCCGGCCGAAUGGAACCGCUGAUUGUCGACUCACUGUUGGCCCUUGAGUGACGGACUCUCACCGAUUCAUCGCCUCACGCCUGGCUGUCAACUUGGGUUAGGUUUUACGAAAAGGAUUGAAGAUUGUGCCACAUCAAUUUUCGAUAUGCUUGCCAAAGAUUCCAUCUGUGAUGAUGCUAUCACUUGAGUUUUAGGUCCUGAACAUCAUGGGAGACUUAGGGGACUCGGAUUUGGAGUUGUACCAUCAAAGGUGGAUGGACAAAUACAAAGUAGGGGAAGAGUUAGAGAACUUGAAAGCCAAUUACAGAUUCAAGCACAAAGGGUGGGGGCAUUAGAAGAAAAAAUGGAAGCAUUUAUCAAAUUUUCUCAGCAGGCUAUAAAAUGUGGAGGAUAGAAAUUCAAAUGCUUUUACUCAGUCACACCAAGGAAGUACUACCCCCAAGACAAAUGCAAGAUGUCAACUGUUACAUUGGUACAUGUUUGAGGAGGAAUAAGUCGUCGCAGAAGGGAAGAUUGCCACAACAGACCCAAGUGCAAAGGUGCAUCACUCGCCACUCGAUCGAGACUGUUGAAUGGUUUGGCUUGAGGAAGUCUAUAUGGGUAAUUUGACUUCAUACAGACCCACAGAUGAAUUUCGCACUCUUAGUGAAGCCAUGGGAAGUAGUGUUGCUUGGCCAAAGAGUAGUAUUAGACAUAUUAAUUAAGAUCUCGUUGAUUGCAGGCCGAUCUUUCUCCAACAACAAGUUUCUUUUUCAAGUGAGAUUGAUGCAAGGCUCGUUGAAUAGAGAUUGUUCCAUUGGUAAUGGUAUUGAUUAAGUAACAUGAGACGGUUUCAAGAUUAAGUUUCGAUUUUUGUAGUUUCCUAAUUACAUUUUGGUAGUACAUGUUUGGAGACUUUUAAUUUAAUUUUGGAAAAGAUUAUGUGUUGAAUAUUUUACAAAAU